UGGUCUGAACGGGCACAAAAAUUCAAGCAGGGAAUGUCACUGCUUCUGUACGUAAUUCCUCAGCAAGAAAUCGUAUAGACAAUUCUAGAAGUACGUUGAUGUGUUGUGCAAAUGUUUUCACAGCUAACGCCAACGCGCGACGGCAUCCAAAUGAUCUGACUCGUGAGAAGAUUUUAGCUUGUAUGCAAACUUUGAUGCUUAUAGAUUGUCGCCAAGACAACCUGUAUUUCUUGUGUUUAGUGUUCUGUUUGUUUUCGUGCCUUUGACACGUUUAAUAACCGCCUGUGAUGUAAGAAUGAAAUAUUUAUUUGUCUAAGCGGAUGCAGCUUCUUGUAGCUGGCUGUACGAGAGCUUUCCACAAUUUGACGCGAUGUUGUUAAAUCACAAGUUUGCAGAUUCAGCAGUGAUUACAAUAAGCUGAACAUUUAUUGUUUAGGAAUGUCACAAUUUACUGAGACGGAGGCAUCUCUGCACCACAAAGGAGACUGCGGCACUAUGCAGCCUGAACAGCACGACAAAGCAUCUGAUCUGCCUGCUUUGACAAGAUGUGGCUGGGCCUGCAGAAAGAGUGUAAGCACACUACUGUGUUGCUGAUCAGUGCUGGUGCUGAUCUCUACGUCUGAGUUGGCCUCACAACGUCCGGGCGCCACUGUGCUUUGCUUCAUUGACAAGGUGUGGCUGGGCCUGCAGAAAAGCUGUAAGCAGACUGCAGUGUUGCUGAUCAGUGCUGAUCUCCACGUCCGAGUUGGUCCCACAAUAUCCAGGCACCACGGUGCUUUCACAAGAGGCAUACGAGCACUUUGUUUCAAAAACGCCAAGCACCGUGGAUACAGAGGCAAGGAGGCUGAAGGACCUGAACAAGCACCUGGCCACCAUGCUUCGGGAUGCAAAAUAAAGAUGGUUUGUGUUAA
Long non-coding RNA from Dermacentor andersoni, 911 nucleotides. RefSeq lists it as uncharacterized. Lineage: Eukaryota; Metazoa; Arthropoda; Arachnida; Ixodida; Ixodidae. The record is from RefSeq and is a predicted model, not a curated record.